GACGAACGCUGGCGGUAUGCUUAACACAUGCAAGUCGAACGAGACGAGAUGGAAGUGCUUGCACGGAAAUCUUAGAAAGUGGCGAACGGGUGAGUAACGCGUGGGUAACCUGCCCUAUGGAAAGGAAUAGCCUCGGGAAACUGGGAGUAAUGCCUUAUACUAUAGUGAAGUCGCAUGGCUUUGCUAUUAAACGCUCCGGUGCCAUAGGAUGGACCCGCGUCCCAUUAGCUAGUUGGUGAGAUAACAGCCCACCAAGGCGACGAUGGGUAACCGGUCUGAGAGGGCGAACGGUCACACUGGUACUGAGACACGGUCCAGACCCCUACGGGAGGCAGCAGUGGGGAAUAUUGCGCAAUGGGGGCAACCCUGACGCAGCAAUACCGCGUGAGUGAAGAAGGUUUUCGGAUCGUAAAGCUCUGUUAUUGGGGAAGAAAAAAAGACGGUACCCAAGAAGAAAGUCCCGGCUAACUGCGUGCCAGCAGCCGCCGUAA
Molecule: ribosomal RNA, 491 nt
Filed under: uncultured bacterium
Lineage: Bacteria
Description: partial 16S ribosomal RNA
Rfam family: Bacterial small subunit ribosomal RNA
Source: RNAcentral